This 758-nucleotide ribosomal RNA is filed under the name uncultured bacterium. RNAcentral's name for it is "bacterial SSU rRNA". It matches the Rfam family "Bacterial small subunit ribosomal RNA", at positions 52 to 828 of the family's 1533-position model. The record is from RNAcentral.
AGCAGUUAAGUUGAUUUCUUCGGAUUGAUUCUUGACUGACUGAGCGGCGGACGGGUGAGUAACGCGUGGGUGACCUGCCCCAUACCGGGGGAUAACAGCUGGAAACGGCUGCUAAUACCGCAUAAGCGCACAGAGCUGCAUGGCUCGGUGUGAAAAACUCCGGUGGUAUGGGAUGGGCCCGCGUCUGAUUAGGCAGUUGGCGGGGUAACGGCCCACCAAACCGACGAUCAGUAGCCGGCCUGAGAGGGCGACCGGCCACAUUGGGACUGAGACACGGCCCAAACUCCUACGGGAGGCAGCAGUGGGGAAUAUUGCACAAUGGGGGAAACCCUGAUGCAGCGACGCCGCGUGAGCGAAGAAGUAUUUCGGUAUGUAAAGCUCUAUCAGCAGGGAAGAUAAUGACGGUACCUGACUAAGAAGCCCCGGCUAACUACGUGCCAGCAGCCGCGGUAAUACGUAGGGGGCAAGCGUUAUCCGGAUUUACUGGGUGUAAAGGGAGCGUAGACGGCAAGGCAAGUCUGAUGUGAAAACCCAGGGCUUAACCCUGGGACUGCAUUGGAAACUGUCUGGCUCGAGUGCCGGAGAGGUAAGCGGAAUUCCUAGUGUAGCGGUGAAAUGCGUAGAUAUUAGGAAGAACACCAGUGGCGAAGGCGGCUUACUGGACGGUAACUGACGUUGAGGCUCGAAAGCGUGGGGAGCAAACAGGAUUAGAUACCCUGGUAGUCCACGCCGUANACGAUGAAUGCUAGGUGUUGGGG